Ceratina calcarata is the source of this 3226-nucleotide long non-coding RNA. RefSeq lists it as uncharacterized. The transcript has 3 exons. The record is from RefSeq and is a predicted model, not a curated record. Lineage: Eukaryota; Metazoa; Arthropoda; Insecta; Hymenoptera; Apidae.
UUACACGAAAAUUCAUUAUUAUUUUCAUCAAUGUUAAUCAUUUCAACAUCCACACGGAUGAUGGCAUAUGACAGCAAACGUGGAAAUGAAGUGCUGUACGUGAUAGAAUAUCCAUAGACGUAUAAUAUUCUUAUGUACACACAUCUCUAUGUAAAAUAAUAUUGUCAAACCUCACAAGCAGUUUCUUCGAUUCUAUUUUUAUUCACAUCAUUCGAAAAUUUAUGUAACCAGUUUAUACAUACUCGAAUGUGAAAGUAGCAAGUGUAAAAUGUCAAGCAUUCGAUGUAUGUAAAAUUGUUUUACAUACGGAACAAGAGGGAAGCUUGAUGGUGAAAUUGGUGACUGGAUAAAAUCAAAAUCAGCGAUGCGUUGGUCGCGAGAAACGAGGGGUUCGAAAGCGUCGUGUCGUCCUCCGAGGGUGAAUAUUACCGAGGGAGACGAGACCGAAGAAAAAAGGACAAAAGACGAAGGAGAAGGGUGUACUGCAAAGUAUUUAAAAAUAUUAAGUACCCCCGACGGAGACGGAUAUUAAGACAGAGCCGUGGGGUAAAAUCGACGAAGAGACGAAAGGCGAAGAGUGAGUGAGAGAGAAGAUGAGAUAGUAAAAGGGGUUGGUGAAGGGGGCAAGCGACGAUGCGGCGCGUCGACGGUGCCAGAGAGGAAGCAGAGUUAUGGGAUUGAAGCGCUGCAGGAAGCAACGGGGCCUCCGCUGGUUACAAUAGAACGAGCGAGGGAGAGAGACCGUCGAGGCAGGGGAACGUUUCAAUUAGUAAUUAAAACGUGCCGUGCUCUACCGCCAGCGACCUUCUCCUCUAUCUCGACUUUACACAGUGGCUGUUGCCUCUCUUAUAGUCUGCCGUCGUCAUCCUGCCGCCGCGCUACUCCGCCAUCUUGUAAAUUAAUUAAUGCGUCCCUAACGAGAUCAGAGGUGUCGGUAAGGCAGCCGAGAUCGGCAAGUUCUCUACCCUGUUUGUCCGCCGAGAGGAAGAACAACCCCUUUCGGUGUUUCUGGAGAUGAGCGUUCACCGUUUCGAGGCCCCUGAGAAUCACUUCCGCUCUUUCGCAUCAGUGCACGCGAGCCUUUCUCUUUGCGCUUCCAUCGAGUUUACCAGAUAAAUCCUUGCCUUAUAUCACCCCAACUCGAGCUUCAUCUUCCCCAUUUAAGUAUAAAAUACAUUUUUUGGUGAACAUUAAUCCAAGUACAUAAAAAUUCUCAUUCAACCAAAUACACAAAAAUGAACUUCCCUCAUUCCUAAAUAGAUGAAUUCUCUACAUUCGCUCUGAUCGGAUCAGAAAGUAAUUGAUAUGAACCAGUCAUGUUACAAAUAAUCGAACGAGAGCAGUAGUCGCGUGGCGGGACAAAAUCAUCUCUGUCAAUCCUGUGCGUGAAUUGACUUUUCAAACGUUCAAUUAGGGAUGACCCUGGCCAGGAGGAGUCUAUCCCAGGGGCAGUGAGUGAGGGUGGGAAGGGCGUAACGCUAGUCGUGCUUCGGCAUCAGUAUCUCUCUCCCACGACCCUUUCAAACCCUUUCAUCGGUGCUUCAACCCGCUUACAUAAUGUAGCCACUCUAAUUAAAAUAAAUUACACUCUCGCGUCAGUUCGCUCUUUUAUCCGUCACGCCCUAUCCCCGUGCCACGCCACAUUUUUUUCGACCCUCGUUUCGUCGCUUUUUUUGCAUCGCAUUUUCAACCACCAGUCAGCAGCCAGCGACACUGGCUACGUAAUACACCCCCUGUUUUUCCUCCCUCUUUCCACCCCGCCUUUCAACCCUCACUCGUUUAUUUGCACUUUAUUCGAGAUUUAAUUUACCGACCUUCGAGCGUCAGCCUCGUUGCUGUGCGCUCAAUUCAGUGAUAGGAUUAAAAAAAACGGUACAAAAAAGUAGACGAUAGUCAACAGAGUGAUUUUGCAAAACGCGUGUUACCAAAGAAAAGAAAUAACGCGACUAAGAGCAGCAAACAACAAUUAUAUCGUGGGAAAGUAUUUAAUUAGGGUUAACAAUAGAUAGCGACUGUUUAUAAUUGUAAUGAUAUACUGAUAGCAAGCUCGAGAAUAAAAAAAUUUCUUAAAUCCUUGUGCGAUUGGUAUUUUAAAAGUAGCGCGCACUGAUGAUACCAGCGUUUGCUUGAGUAAUCGAGAAACGAUCUUUAAAGCUGACUAAUCGACCAAUUUUCACUCCCUUCGCUUUCACCUUCGUUGUUCCGCUAAUUAACGCUGAAAACUCGCUGCUUCGCAAAGAAAAAACGUGACUCGAUCAACAGGGAAUUAUCGAGGUUCGUUCAUGGCCCCAAUCAACACAAUUAUUAAGCGAAUAAAUUUUAAUUAAUUAAAUAGAAGAGGAAAUUAACCAACACUUCAAUUUUAUCAUAUGCUGGAUUUUUUCCAUGUAAUAAAAGAAUGCUCGUUGAUCGGUCGCGAUCUGCUCGUAGAAAACGGAAUUCCCUUCUCGAUGUCAGCUCGGCAUUACCUGCUCCGCAAAAUUAAUGCGGCGCCGUUUCUCGAGUAUUUUUCUCACCGACAUGGCAUCGAGGGCCACUCGCUUUCGCGACAAUUUGCCGCGAGCUACUCGGAUCGGCCGUAAGUAUCGUGAAAUUCAAUUAAGUUCGUGCUUGUGCAACUCGAGGGAACUCGCUUCUCUUCCUCUUCCAUCCCCUCUUAUCGCGGCUUCGCUCUCAUCAGCAGCUAGCAGUAGCCUGUGAACGUCCUCCCGUUUGGAAAAAAUAGAGAAAAAAGGAGACGUCUGUUCCAUGACGCGACGGCGAUAAAUAAAUAUUCUGCAGUCAUUCCUGGCUUCUCCCUUCGUGCUCUCUCUUCAUCUCCUCGAAAGCCACGGGAACAAGCAUUUCUCGGUAGUUCAUAAAUUGGUUGACUCGAUUGAAAAGGGAGAAUGAAAGAGCAGACUCUCUAUUUAUGUAACUUCUUAAUAUUCUACUUUCUUUCUUUUGGAAUGGUAUUCUUAAUAUUUCUCUAAUUGUCUUGUGAAUUUCUGAACAAUUAAUAGAAAACGCUGGCUAAAAUUAAUAGAAAAAACUGAAUGCUACGAAUUUAUGAUGGCUGUGCGUAUAUUCUCUGUGUACAAACACAGUGAAAGUUUUUAGUAAAAGGCUCCUGUGCUGCGUAAGACGAAGAAAACAAUCUGAUUUUCCAUCAAACCACUUUGCCUCGUUUUUUUCAGAUUUAUUCCUGCUCCACAUGUCGUAUCGUAUAGCUUUCUCGGUUACUUCG